RNAcentral lists this ribosomal RNA (253 nucleotides) under uncultured prokaryote. RNAcentral's name for it is "partial 16S ribosomal RNA". It matches the Rfam family "Bacterial small subunit ribosomal RNA", at positions 525 to 777 of the family's 1533-position model. The record is from RNAcentral.
ACGUAGGCAGCGAGCGUUGUUCGGAGUUACUGGGCGUAAAGAGUGCGUAGGCGGUGCUCUAAGUUUGGUGUGAAAUCUCCCGGCUUAACUGGGAGGGUGCGCCGAAAACUGGAGUGCUUGAGUGUGGGAGAGGUAAGCGGAAUUCCUGGUGUAGCGGUGAAAUGCGUAGAUAUCAGGAGGAACACCUGUGGUGUAGACAGCUUACUGGACCAUGACUGACGCUGAGGCACGAAAGCGUGGGGAGCAAACAGGA